This 433-nucleotide ribosomal RNA is filed under the name uncultured bacterium. RNAcentral's name for it is "partial 16S ribosomal RNA". It matches the Rfam family "Bacterial small subunit ribosomal RNA", at positions 29 to 507 of the family's 1533-position model. The record is from RNAcentral.
AACGAACGCUGGCGGCAUGCCUAACACAUGCAAGUCGAACGAGACCUUCGGGUCUAGUGGCGCACGGGUGCGUAACGCGUGGGAACCUGCCCUUAGGUUCGGAAUAACUCCCCGAAAGGGGUGCUAAUACCGGAUAAUGUCUUCGGACCAAAGAUUUGUCGCCUUUGGAUGGGCCCGCGUUGGAUUAGCUAGUUGGUAGGGUAAAAGCCUACCAAGGCGACGAUCCAUAGCUGGUCUGAGAGGAUGAUCAGCCACACUGGGACUGAGACACGGCCCAGACUCCUACGGGAGGCAGCAGUGGGGAAUAUUGGACAAUGGGCGGAAGCCUGAUCCAGCAAUGCCGCGUGAGUGAUGAAGGCCUUAGGGUUGUAAAGCUCUUUUACCCGGGAUGAUAAUGACAGUACCGGGAGAAUAAGCUCCGGCUAACUCCGUG